This 75-nucleotide transfer RNA is filed under the name Capsulimonas corticalis. Its description in RNAcentral is "tRNA-Thr". It matches the Rfam family "tRNA". Rfam says of the family: Transfer RNA (tRNA) molecules are approximately 80 nucleotides in length. Their secondary structure includes four short double-helical elements and three loops (D, anti-codon, and T loops). Further hydrogen bonds mediate the characteristic L-shaped molecular structure. tRNAs have two regions of fundamental functional importance: the anti-codon, which is responsible for specific mRNA codon recognition, and the 3' end, to which the tRNAs corresponding amino acid is attached (by aminoacyl-tRNA synthetases). tRNAs cope with the degeneracy of the genetic code in two manners: having more than one tRNA (with a specific anti-codon) for a particular amino acid; and 'wobble' base-pairing, i.e. permitting non-standard base-pairing at the 3rd anti-codon position. The record is from RNAcentral. Lineage: Bacteria; Bacillati; Armatimonadota; Armatimonadia; Capsulimonadales; Capsulimonadaceae.
GCCCACGUAGCUCAGUGGUAGAGCACUUCUUUGGUAAAGAAGAGGUCAAGGGUCCGAUUCCCUUCGUGGGCCCCA